Molecule: ribosomal RNA, 818 nt
Filed under: uncultured bacterium
Lineage: Bacteria
Description: bacterial SSU rRNA
Rfam family: Bacterial small subunit ribosomal RNA
Source: RNAcentral
UGCAGUCGAGGGGUAUAGGUUUUCGGACCUAGAGACCGGCGCACGGGUGCGUAACGCGUAUGCAAUCUACCUUGUACAGGGGGAUAGCCCAGAGAAAUUUGGAUUAAUACCCCAUAGCGUAAUGAUAUGGCAUCAUAUUAUUACUAAAGUUCCAACGGUACAAGAUGAGCAUGCGUCCUAUUAGCUAGUUGGUGUGGUAACGGCACACCAAGGCAACGAUAGGUAGGGGUCCUGAGAGGGAGAUCCCCCACACUGGUACUGAGACACGGACCAGACUCCUACGGGAGGCAGCAGUGAGGAAUAUUGGACAAUGGGCGCAAGCCUGAUCCAGCCAUACCGCGUGCAGGAAGAAGCAUCUAUGGUGUGUAAACUGCUUUUGUACGGGAAGAAACACUCCUACGUGUAGGAGAUUGACGGUACCGUAAGAAUAAGGAUCGGCUAACUCCGUGCCAGCAGCCGCGGUAAUACGGAGGAUCCAAGCGUUAUCCGGAAUCAUUGGGUUUAAAGGGUCCGUAGGCGGUUUAAUAAGUCAGUGGUGAAAUCUGGUCGCUCAACGAUCAAACGGCCAUUGAUACUGUUAGACUUGAAUUAUUGGGAAGUAACUAGAAUAUGUAGUGUAGCGGUGAAAUGCUUAGAUAUUACAUGGAAUACCAAUUGCGAAGGCAGGUUACUACCAAUAUAUUGACGCUGAUGGACGAAAGCGUGGGGAGCGAACAGGAUUAGAUACCCUGGUAGUCCACGCCGUAAACGAUGGAUACUAGCUGUUCGGAGCAAUCUGAGUGGCUAAGCGAAAGUGAUAAGUAUCCCACCUGGGGAGU